GAAAUGCGAUAAGUAAUGUGAAUUGCAGAAUCCAGUGAAUCAUCGAAUCUUUGAACGCACCUUGCGCCCUUUGGUAUUCCGAGGGGCAUGCCUGUUUGAGAGUCAUUAAAUUCUCAACCUUACAAAUUUUUUGUUAAGGCUUGGAUGUGAGAGUUGCUGGUUACAUUUUUAACUGGCUCUCUUGAAAAUCAUUAGUAGGACAUGUAGAAAUGCCUGCGGUUGGUGUGAUAAUAAAUGUCUACGCCUAUACCAAAGGGGAUUCUUACUAGCUACUUAUAAAAUAAUGCGCAUAUAUCCUAGUAUAUACACGCAUAUAUUGACCAUUUGACCUCAAAUCAGGUAGGACUACCCGCUGAACUUAA
RNAcentral lists this unclassified non-coding RNA (362 nucleotides) under uncultured Athelia. RNAcentral's name for it is "sequence contains ITS1". The stretch from base 1 to 105 matches the Rfam family "5.8S ribosomal RNA", at positions 50 to 154 of the family's 154-position model. Lineage: Eukaryota; Fungi; Basidiomycota; Agaricomycetes; Corticiales; Corticiaceae. The record is from RNAcentral.